Molecule: ribosomal RNA, 466 nt
Filed under: uncultured bacterium
Lineage: Bacteria
Description: partial 16S ribosomal RNA
Rfam family: Bacterial small subunit ribosomal RNA
Source: RNAcentral
GACGAACGCUGGCGGCGUGCUUAACACAUGCAAGUCGAACGGAAAGGCCUCUUUCGGGGGGUACUCGAGUGGCGAACGGGUGAGUAACACGUGAGUACCUGCCCUUGACUUUGGGAUAACUUCAGGAAACUGGGGCUAAUACCGGAUAGGAGCUCCUGCUGCAUGGUGGGGGUUGGAAAGUUUCGGCGGUUGGGGAUGGACUCGCGGCUUAUCAGCUUGUUGGUGGGGUAGUGGCUUACCAAGGCUUUGACGGGUAGCCGGCCUGAGAGGGUGACCGGCCACAUUGGGACUGAGAUACGGCCCAGACUCCUACGGGAGGCAGCAGUGGGGAAUAUUGCACAAUGGGUGGAAGCCUGAUGCAGCAACGCCGUGUGCGGGAUGACGGCCUUCGGGUUGUAAACCGCUUUCGCUCAUGACGAAGCUUUGUGUGACGGUAGUGGGUAAAGAAGCACCGGCUAACUACGUG